GGUGGAAUGACCGAGCGGUUAAGGUGAUUGAUUAGAAUUAAACCUCUGAUAUCAAUUCUCGAAAGGGGCCAGGGUUCAAAUCCCUGUUCCACCU
Dioszegia hungarica is the source of this 94-nucleotide non-coding RNA. The record is from the annotation of a RefSeq genome assembly. Lineage: Eukaryota; Fungi; Basidiomycota; Tremellomycetes; Tremellales; Bulleribasidiaceae.